RNAcentral lists this unclassified non-coding RNA (234 nucleotides) under Hevea brasiliensis (rubber tree). Lineage: Eukaryota; Viridiplantae; Streptophyta; Magnoliopsida; Malpighiales; Euphorbiaceae. The record is from RNAcentral.
ACCCCAGAAAACGAAUUACAGCCCAUGAAGUUCUUUGUAAGUUAUAAUACAUCAUCAAUAUGUUUGUUUCCUUUCUCUUCUUAUCCUCCAUAAUUUGUUCGUUCUUUCUCAUAAUUCUUUCAAUAAGACUUGUGGGAUUACUCAACUUCGUAAGAAUUAUGGUAGGUCAAGUCUCUUGACAAUCGGUGGCAUGAGUUCAUAUAUAAAUAUGCUUUGGUGUUCUUUGUUGAAUUG